GACGAACGCUGGCGGCGUGCUUAACACAUGCAAGUCGAACGGAAAGGCCCUGCUUUUGUGUGGUGCUCGAUUGGCGAACGGGUGAGUAACACGUGAGUAACCUGCCCUUGACUUUGUGAUAACUUCAGGAAACUGGGGCUAAUACCGGAUAGGAGCUCCUGCUGCAUGGUGUGGGUUGGAGAGUUUCGGCGGUUGGGGAUGGACUCGCGGCUUAUCAGCUUGUUGGUGGGGUAGUGGCUUACCAAGGCUUUGACGGGUAGCCGGCCUGAGAGGGUGACCGGCCACAAUGGGACUGAGAUACGGACCAGACUCCUAUGGGAGGCAGCAGUGGGGAAUAUUGCACAAUGGGCGGAAGCCUGAUGCAGCAACGCCGCGUGCGGGAUGACGGCUUUCGGGUUGUAAACAGAUGUCGACUGUGACGAAGCGUGAGUGACGGUAAUGGGUAAAGAAGCACCGGCUAACUACGUG
Molecule: ribosomal RNA, 468 nt
Filed under: uncultured bacterium
Lineage: Bacteria
Description: partial 16S ribosomal RNA
Rfam family: Bacterial small subunit ribosomal RNA
Source: RNAcentral